Molecule: ribosomal RNA, 471 nt
Filed under: uncultured bacterium
Lineage: Bacteria
Description: bacterial SSU rRNA
Rfam family: Bacterial small subunit ribosomal RNA
Source: RNAcentral
GGGCCCGCACAAGCGGUGGAGUAUGUGGUUUAAUUCGAUGCAACGCGAAGAACCUUACCUGGUCUUGACAUCCCGGAGACCCUUAGGAAACUAGGGGGUGCUUCCAUUAGGAAGAAUCUGGAGACAGGUGCUGCAUGGCUGUCGUCAGCUCGUGUCGUGAGAUGUUGGGUUAAGUCCCGCAACGAGCGCAACCCUUGCCUUUAGUUGCCAGCAGUUCGGCUGGGCACUCUAAAGGGACUGCCGGUGUUAAACCGGAGGAAGGUGGGGAUGACGUCAAGUCCUCAUGGCCUUUAUGACCAGGGCUACACACGUACUACAAUGGCCGAUACAAAGGGCAGCGACACUGCGAAGUGAAGCCAAUCCCGUAAAAUCGGUCUCAGUCCGGAUUGGAGUCUGCAACUCGACUCCAUGAAGUUGGAAUCGCUAGUAAUCGUGGAUCAGCAUGCCACGGUGAAUACGUUCCCGGGCCUU